RNAcentral lists this ribosomal RNA (486 nucleotides) under Triticum aestivum (bread wheat). Its description in RNAcentral is "partial small subunit ribosomal RNA". The record is from RNAcentral. Lineage: Eukaryota; Viridiplantae; Streptophyta; Magnoliopsida; Poales; Poaceae.
CCUUGUACAUCUCUCACAAAUCUGCUGGCAAUAUGACAAGUCAAGGCACUCAUGAAUAUGCUCUAACUCUACUAUCAGUUUGUGAGAUCUUCCAAACAAAAAUUGUAUAUAUGAACAGGGUCAAACGGCAAGAGCCAUCUACUAUGAAUGUACUAGUAGGCAACGGCUGCAGAGAUCUUCGAACAGCUACCUCCUCAAACAAGUCACACAUUUCAUAGCAUGUGUAAGGCUAGCUACCUAAUGAUCUAUGAAUCAGUAUCUUUUAAGUAAGCAUGACUACAAAAAAACAGCAUGUUCACAUCAUUUCCAACAGGGCUAGAUUCAAUUCGAAAAUGCACUGAUCAAUUAGAGUCCUUGGCAGGAACACUACUCCAACAGUUUGUCAAUAUUUAACUGCAUGAAAACAACAAUCCACACAGGAAAGAUGUAUACAUAGAGCCUAUUUCAGGACAAAACACCAAGGCACACGAUCUGAGGCCGAGAAUA